Molecule: transfer RNA, 63 nt
Filed under: Siobla xizangensis
Lineage: Eukaryota; Metazoa; Arthropoda; Insecta; Hymenoptera; Tenthredinidae
Description: tRNA-Trp
Source: RNAcentral
AAAAUCUUAAGUUAAAAAAACUAAUAGCCUUCAAAGCUUUAAAUAAAAAGUAUUUAGAUUUUA